CACAAAGUUAGCCAGGCCUGAGUGAGACAGAGAAGGACCAGGGAAGGGGUGGUAACCUGACUUCUGAGAAGGGCAGGUUGCAGUGUAACAGGCCUGUGUUCAGUGGUCCAUUCUCGCUGAGAAUGGAUGUGUUCUGCUCCCUUCUUUCUUGUUUGGUGGUACUGCGGUUUGAAUUCAGGGCCUUGUACUUGACAGGCAGGUGACUUACUUCCUAAGCUAUGCUCCCAGCCCCUUCUGCUUUCACGGCUUUUCCAAUCGUCCAGCACAGCCUAGACCACAGUACUCCUACGUGUGCUUUCCAUGAAGCUGCAUGAUAGGCCUGUGUUGAUGCACUUGGCUUUUCACUGGCUAAGAUGGAGUCUUAGGGACUUCUGCCUAGGCUGGCCUCAAACUGUGAAACACAUUCUUUCAGGGGCAGACUUGCAAUCCUCCUGCCUUGGCUUUCAUGCCUGGGAUUACAGGCAUGAGCCACCAUAUCCAGGCAAGAGAUUAUUUAAAAAACAACAACAACAAAAACAAAAACUCCAACACAUAGCUGAGCAGGAAUGUCUAAAUAACUCUCUUCCCUCACCACAGGUGGAGAGAGUAGGCUGCUCUAAACCUCACAUCCACCCCCAUCAGGCGCUUCCGUGGGGGCACCAAAGAGGAUUUGCUGACAGAGGGUGCUAGGCGUCCAAGGCCUCUUUCAGUGGAUCCUACACAGGCCGUGCACAGGAGUCCUCACCUCUUCCCCCUUCUCAGAUGCCUUGCAAUGGUGCCCCACACCAGGCAAGCCAUAGCCAGUGCAGUGGUAUGCAUCCACAAGCACCCUGGCACUCACAGCCAACUCCCGAGCAGGCAGCACCCUUUUACCAUGAGGAUAAUGACUUCGAAUCACCGUAAAGGAAGCUUGGAUUUCAGGAGAGCAAAGCCAGUCAAUGGCUGAACUACUCUGCCUUCCAGCACAGGGAGAGCACCUAAAUCCAAUCUGGCCACUCCCCUCCUCCGCAUCUCAUAGUGAGAUGAACCUCCGGCCUCAGCCUCCGGGGUUCUGGGUCAAAGGCAUGUAUCACCAUGCCCAGCCAUAAUACAGUAAGUUUUUGUAAAGGAAAAGUACACAUACUCAAAUCCCAUUUUGACAAACUACUCAGCUCCUGUAGUCUCUACAUUUUUAACAAUUAUUCAUUUGUAAUCAAAUGAGUAUAAUAACAAUAAGCACCCAAAAAGGAGAUGGCUCUGGGUGAAGGCCUGAGCUAGAAGAGUCCACAGUCCUAGUACUGGCGCUAUCUCAGCUUGUUAAAGGGACAGCCAGGAUAGCACCCAAACUCAAAACUGACUACCACAUGGGAGCUCUGAUGGAUCCUGGCAUGGGGGAGGGGGAUGGGGGGGUAAGACAAUACGAAGACAUUUUGGGACCAACUAGAGACAGGUGAACAUCACAGUAUGUAACAACCACCAUCAAAUAAUGAAGGUUUUCUUGGGUGCACAACUGAAACUGCAGUUACAAUAGACAAGGCCACUGCUCUCU
Long non-coding RNA from Perognathus longimembris pacificus (Pacific pocket mouse), 1507 nucleotides. RefSeq lists it as uncharacterized. The record is from RefSeq and is a predicted model, not a curated record. The transcript has 3 exons. Lineage: Eukaryota; Metazoa; Chordata; Mammalia; Rodentia; Heteromyidae.